Long non-coding RNA from Strigops habroptila (Kakapo), 1724 nucleotides. RefSeq lists it as uncharacterized. The transcript is spliced from 4 exons. NCBI's taxonomy places the organism in Eukaryota, Metazoa, Chordata, Aves, Psittaciformes, Psittacidae. The record is from RefSeq and is a predicted model, not a curated record.
GAUCAGAGUGGUUCCAUUUCAAGCUGCAUCUGGACCUCCAGCUUCUACCUAAGGCAGAACUAACCUUCCUGAAUGUCCUGAGCACAUGAAGAGCCAAAUUUGCAGUGGAGAGACGGUCCCUGAGAAGCACAGAGGCAGGAGGGCCUUGCAAAGGAAGAGCACUGAAGGAAGGAGCCAAUGUGAGUAAAGCACCAAAGGACUGGCUCUGACCCUGACCCAGAAGCAUCUCACCUCCACGCUCUUCGCAGCAAGAUGCCACACUUUCAACCUCGUCCAGGUGAUGGAGACUUAUGGAACACAAUCUCGGACUUCAUUAUCCUCCGCUGGAUCAGUUCCCUGAAGUGGAUGUCAGACUGAUUUCACAACUAGAUGGGUCAGCACAGGAAGGACUGUGGUGCAUGGAAAGAAGCAAUGAGGAGGGAAUCCUGGAUUGCUGGAAACCACAAUUGCCUCAAAACUCGCCGUAACACAAAUCCACAGAUCAGGAGCUGCUUGUAAUGAAGCAACGACAUUCAUUCCCAUCUGAAGAUGAGGCAGAGAAAGAGCAAGAGUGAUGUUUCUUCAUCACUUCACUGAAGUUCACCUUUCCGUGCAGCACCAGCUCCAGGGGCAGAGAGCGGAUCCUGCCGUGGGGAGAGGAUGCUACACCCCACCGACACUGCGGAGGCACAGAGAUUCAAUCAUGCACCUUGUUCCAAAAUAUCAUGACACGGUUGCAAGCAGGAAGAUGAGAGUUAGAUAAAAUGGUGGACAUUCUAAUUUAUUUUGCAGCCUUUCAAUGGAUAGUGCUGACAACUGAGAAAAGCACAGUUGUUUAUUGCUCGUGGGUUUGCUAAUACAGCAAUAUGAGGAAUGGGACUGCUUUGGUACUGUCGAACCUCAACAGCACAAAAAGUGUUGGCUUUUUGUCAAUUUAGCUUAAAUGACUUCCCACUUUCACUAGUGAAAAGUCCUUUUCUGGCCAGUAUUCCAGAGUUUGUGUUGAACUGCCUUUUUUGCUGGCCUGAUUUGAGAGUAAGGUAUUGUACUUCUAAAAGUGCUGUUAGCAAAACUGUAAUCCAGGCCUCACAUGUUAUUUUGGUCCAUAUGUUAUUUAUUUUAGUCUCUGAAGGUUCCCAAAUACUAUAUAUUUACCCUUGCUCUUUAAAGUUAUUGUUAGUUACAAAAUAUUAGAAACAUAGUUUCAUCUAUAAAAUGCAUAAUUAAAUUAAUCUUUACCAUACUUUUUUUUACAUCAUACAGGAAAUAUUUUAGUCUGAUGAAUACCAUGGACAUAUAAUUAGUACUUUCUACCAUAAACUAGAUUACAACUUACACUGUCCACCCUGGCUCCAAAAAUCCUUGCAGAUUUUAAUUCAAUUGCUCCACUUUAUCUGGAUGAAAGCAUUUGAAUUCUAUUAUUAUUAUUCAGUGCGGAUUUGUGCCUUUAUAUAGGUUAGAUGUGGUAGAAGAUUUAAACAGAAGCUUAGUGGAAGUCUCAAAUUAGGCAUUUGCAUCUAUAUUUAGGCAUCUACGAGAUUUUAAAUGCUGAACAUCUAAUUUUUCUAGCUGAGGUUUGCCUAAGUUAGGGUUUAAUGGGAAUCAAGGCUGGAUGAUAAAAAUAGAGGGAAACUAAUUUUGAGGUAUUUCUGAAUUUCAAUGGGAAUCAGGCUCAGAGUCUUUUGAAAGCCCUCUUACAUGCCUGUCUGUGCCUUUCAACGCUUAAACACCUUUCAGAAUCUGGC